RNAcentral lists this ribosomal RNA (688 nucleotides) under Apiospora phragmitis. Its description in RNAcentral is "partial large subunit ribosomal RNA". It matches the Rfam family "Eukaryotic large subunit ribosomal RNA", at positions 92 to 808 of the family's 3401-position model. The record is from RNAcentral. Lineage: Eukaryota; Fungi; Ascomycota; Sordariomycetes; Amphisphaeriales; Apiosporaceae.
AGUGAAGCGGGAACAGCUCAAAUUUGAAAUCUGGCCCUUGGGUCCGAGUUGUAAUUUGCAGAGGAUGCUUUUGGUGCGGUGCCUUCCGAGUUCCCUGGAACGGGACGCCUUAGAGGGUGAGAGCCCCGUACGGUUGGCCACCAAGCCUGUGUAAAGCUCCUUCGACGAGUCGAGUAGUUUGGGAAUGCUGCUCAAAAUGGGAGGUAUAUUUCUUCUAAAGCUAAAUACUGGCCAGAGACCGAUAGCGCACAAGUAGAGUGAUCGAAAGAUGAAAAGCACUUUGAAAAGAGGGUUAAAUAGCACGUGAAAUUGUUGAAAGGGAAGGAUUUAUGACCAGACUUUUUCUAGGGGGAUCAUCCGGUGUUCUCACCGGUGCACUUCCCCUAGUUGAGGCCAGCAUCGGUUUCUGUCGGGGGAUAAAAGCUUCAGGAAUGUGGCUCCUUCGGGAGUGUUAUAGCCUGUUGCAUAAUACCCUGACGGGGACCGAGGUUCGCGCAUUGCAAGGAUGCUGGCGUAAUGGUUAUUAAUCACCCGUCUUGAAACACGGACCAAGGAGUCGAACAUUUGUGCGAGUGUUUGGGUGUUAAACCCUCACGCGUAAUGAAAGUGAACGGAGGUGAGAGCCCUUCGGGGUGCAUCAUCGACCGAUCCUGAUGUCUUCCGAUGGAUUUGAGUAAGAGCAUAACUG